ACCGUGAGGGAAUGGUGAAAAGUACCCCGGGAGGGGAGUGAAAUAGUACCUGAAACCGUGUGCCUACAAUCCGUCAGAGCCUCCUUGUGGGGUGAUGGCGUGCCUUUUGAAGAAUGAGCCUGCGAGUCAGCGGCACGUCGCGAGGUUAACCCGUGUGGGGUAGCCGUAGCGAAAGCGAAUACUAACUAGUGUGUUGUUAGUGGCGUGUCCUGGACCCGAAGCGGGGUGAUCUACCCAUGGCCAGUGUGAAGCGACGGUAAGACGUCGUGGAGGCGCGAACCCACUUAGGUUGAAAACUGAGGGGAUGAGUUGUGGGUAGGGGUGAAAGGCCAAUCAAACUCCGUGAUAGCUGGUUCUCCCCGAAAUGCAUUUAGGUGCAGCGUCGUGUGUUUCUUGCCGGAGGUAGAGCUACUGGUUGGUUUAGCGGGACUACCAUCUUAGCGACAUCAGCCAAACUCCGAAUGCCGGUAAGUGAGAGCGCGGCAGUGAGACUGCGGGGGAUAAGCUUCGU
RNAcentral lists this ribosomal RNA (511 nucleotides) under Drosophila guanche. It matches the Rfam family "Bacterial large subunit ribosomal RNA", at positions 500 to 1008 of the family's 2925-position model. The record is from RNAcentral. Lineage: Eukaryota; Metazoa; Arthropoda; Insecta; Diptera; Drosophilidae.